GCUGAAAUUUGUAAGCCCUGGAGAACCUUUUAUCAUCAAAUAUUUAAAGUUUGAAUUAAAGUCUCAUCACUACAUUAAUCUGCCAGUUGGAUUCAAACCUCGUUCAGUAGGCAAGUUUGAGGAAUUGUUGGUUGUACAGACAAAUAGUUAUGGAGAUAUCAGUAUUAAGCUUACUGGUGAAAGUUUUGCAAAGGUAUAACCUUUGGCAAAUGCUUGUAGUUAUCACUGGUGACUGAACAAAAUGGAUUAUGAUGUCGCAUGAAGACAGGACGUCUUUGAUGAUCUUGACUGCUGCUACUUUAAAUAAGACUUUUUUCUAAAUUGUCAGCUGGCUGAUUUGCACUUUCCCUUUCAAGGACUAUAUCAGAUUUUUAUAAUUUGUAUGAGCACUACUUUCCUAUUUAUUUAUGGCCUUUUUUUGUUAUAAUUCAAUGAAGUUGUAUAGUUACUUGUUUUCACCAAUAUGUCCAUGAAAUAGUAUAAUAAUCUUUUCUUGUCCAUCGAAAAAAUAUAUGUGCAUUCGUUUAAUAUUGUUUUAAAACACUGUAUUUUAAUUCCUUAUUGUUAAUAAAGAACAACCUGUAUAUA
Molecule: long non-coding RNA, 588 nt
Organism: Protopterus annectens (West African lungfish)
Lineage: Eukaryota; Metazoa; Chordata; Ceratodontiformes; Protopteridae
Exons: 2
Source: RefSeq, a predicted model, not a curated record